CGAUGAAGAACGCAGCGAAAUGCGAUACCUAGUGUGAAUUGCAGAAUUCCGCGAAUCAUCGAGUCUUUGAACGCAAGUUGCGCCCGAGGCUCGUCCCGAGGGCAUGCCUGCCUGAGCGUCCG
This 122-nucleotide ribosomal RNA is filed under the name Nipponolejeunea pilifera. RNAcentral's name for it is "partial 5.8S ribosomal RNA". It matches the Rfam family "5.8S ribosomal RNA", at positions 34 to 154 of the family's 154-position model. From Rfam's summary of the family: 5.8S ribosomal RNA (5.8S rRNA) is a component of the large subunit of the eukaryotic ribosome. The record is from RNAcentral. Lineage: Eukaryota; Viridiplantae; Streptophyta; Jungermanniopsida; Porellales; Jubulaceae.